This 358-nucleotide ribosomal RNA is filed under the name uncultured bacterium. RNAcentral describes it as "bacterial SSU rRNA". It matches the Rfam family "Bacterial small subunit ribosomal RNA", at positions 32 to 381 of the family's 1533-position model. The record is from RNAcentral.
AAUCAACGCUGGCGGCGUGCCUCAGACAUGCAAGUCGAACGCGAAAGUUCCCUUCGGGGAGCGAGUAGAGUGGCGCACGGGUGAGCAACACGUAGGUAAUCUACCCUCGAGUGGGGAAUAACUCAGGGAAACUUGAGCUAAUACCGCAUAAUGCAGCGGCACCACAUGGUGACAGUUGUUAAAGCAUUUAUGCGCUUGGGGAGGAGCCUGCGGCAGAUUAGCUAGUUGGUAAGGUAAUGGCUUACCAAGGCAACGAUCUGUAACCGGCCUGAGAGGGCGGACGGUCACACUGACACUGAAUAACGGGUCAGACUCCUACGGGAGGCAGCAGUCGGGAAUUUUGGGCAAUGGGCGAAAG